This 1201-nucleotide long non-coding RNA is filed under the name Citrus x clementina. RNAcentral describes it as "Citrus clementina (C. clementina) long non-coding RNA (CCLE_LNC005714)". The record is from RNAcentral. Lineage: Eukaryota; Viridiplantae; Streptophyta; Magnoliopsida; Sapindales; Rutaceae.
UUUUCUUUAGUACGCUACCGUAUUAUCAAACAACGAUUAUGGACUAAAGCAAAUCAAUUCCACCAAUAUUCUAUAUAUGUAAAAAAAUAAGCCUUAAAUUAUCUAAGUUUUUUUUGCUGCUCACCCUCUCAAAUUCUCGUUCUCGACUCUCAACUAAUGAUAUUAUUGUCAUUACUAUUUUCUUAAGACAUAGUAAAACUAGACAUAUCACAGGUUACUGAAUUUGCUCCGCCCAACAUGCAUGCAUGGUGCGCGUGGAUCGAUUGUGAUAGAAUAGACAAGACAAAAUUAGAAAACUAGCUAGGUCUCGGUCAUAGGACGAUUCGAAAUCAGUUUCUUAUUAUAUAAUAAUGACAGUGACCCACGUGGAAUAACAAUAAAAUAAAAAUGAGCUAAUUAAGAAUAAAUGAACCACGUGGAAACAACGAAAUUUCAAUGCCGUUAAUAAAAAUAAUCUUUUUGGGCAAAAGUGACAAUUAUUCGAUUAAGAUUUGCUUCUAUAACGUAAUGAUUUGUACAAAAAAUUUAUGUCUCUAACAUCACUAAAGGAUUAGAUAUAAGAAUUUAAUUGCAUUUUAACAUUAAAAAAAAAAUCAAAAGAUUUUGUAAUUAUCAAGAAUUUUUGUUCUUUUUUUCUUAUUCUUUAAAAUCGAUCUCUCAAAUACUAGAUUCUGUAUUUUUAGUAUGCCGCACAUAUAAUUAAACAAGUGUUGACUAAAGGAAACCAAUCUCACCGAUAUUCUAUAUAUGUUAAAAAUAUUCUAUACUAUUCUAUUACUUAUUUCUUUACUAAAAUUUUUUAUUUUAAGUUACAUGAAAUAUAACUUAAGUAAACCGUAAAAAUAAACUUCAAAUUAUCAAAGUAUUUUGUUGCUGACCCUCAAAUUUUUAUUUUUGACUCUCAACUAAAGAUAGAUUAAGAUUUUUAUUACGAAGGUUAGAUUGUCAACUACAAUGUGUAUGUAUGUAGGUAGGUAGGGUGUGCGUGUGUAAUUGGAAGUUUUAAAUGAUAAUUAAGCAGAAUUUUUGUAACAAGCAGUGCUACAUUUUAGAUAGCCUGAGCAAAAAAUCAUGGGUUGGCCCGAUUAGGCCAGGCCCGUGGGCAUUGGACCAGCCCUCUUGGACAAGGGCUAAAGGAAAAAAAAGCUAGGCCCUCUAUUUCUUUUAAAAUAAAUCAAUUUUAAAAAAGUAAUAGGAAAAU